This 404-nucleotide ribosomal RNA is filed under the name uncultured bacterium. RNAcentral's name for it is "bacterial SSU rRNA". It matches the Rfam family "Bacterial small subunit ribosomal RNA", at positions 355 to 776 of the family's 1533-position model. The record is from RNAcentral.
UGGGGAAUAUUGGACAAUGGGGGAAACCCUGAUCCAGCGAUGCCGCGUGAGUGAAGAAGGCCUUCGGGUUGUAAAACUCUUUCAGUGGGGAAGAUGAUGACGGUACCCACAGAAGAAGCACCGGCUAACUCCGUGCCAGCAGCCGCGGUAAUACGGAGGGUGCAAGCGUUGUUCGGAAUUACUGGGCGUAAAGCGUGCGUAGGCGGUUUACUAAGUCAGACGUGAAAGCCCCGAGCUUAACUUGGGAACUGCGUUUGAUACUGGUAGGCUAGAGGACUUGAGAGGAUAGUGGAAUUCCUAGUGUAGAGGUGAAAUUCGUAGAUAUUAGGAAGAACACCAGUGGCGAAGGCGGCUAUCUGGCAAGUUACUGACGCUGAGGUACGAAAGCGUGGGGAGCAAACAGG